UUCCUUUUCUUGAGAAUGUACCGUGGAUAGAAGUGCUGUCUAUCACUCUUCCUAAUGGGCUAUUCAUAAAUGUGCCCCUCUGGUCAAUCAGCUUAUUUUGUCUGUUCUGUGGCUUUAUGGAGGCUUUGUUUGCUCACCUGUAGCAGAUGUAUUUGGACUCCAGAUGUUUUAAAGGAUCUUUCCAGGUCCAUUGAGUCCUUGCUCCCUUUUGUUAUUGUGGCCAGGGAGGCAGCUGGUGACUGAUUGAUCCCCUUUCCCUCUGGAGCUUCAACUGGGACUGUCCUGAAGAUUGGCCACCAUCAUGCCCAUCAGGGAAGAGGCCUGAGGUGAGUCGUGCGGCUCCCGCUGCACCCACCAGCUGAGGUAUGACAUCCUGCCUGCUCUCCUUUGGUGGUUUUUUGAGUUAGAAGAAUGUUCCUUCCCUUCGUGGAAUGUCCGUGGGGGAAUAGAAGCCUCAGGGUGUUACAGAGGUCAUGAUGACUUCAGUUUACUCCACACUCUGCCCGUCUCUCUAGAUGUACAAUACCAUGGAUCUGAGUUGGGGUAUGUUCCAGAGAAAAGCAAUAUUGAUGGCCCCUCAUAAAAGAUGUGACAUGAAAUGGUUAAUAUGAAUAGAAGAAUCCUGACUUGUCUGAAAUAUACAUUUCCAGGGAGGAAAUGCAGAACCCGUUGAGUAUCAUUUGUACAUUUAUGCUUGUUUUUAAAUCCCAGGGACUGUAAAUACUGGCAUCCUGGAAUUUCCAGGAGUCAUAGUCUAGACUGGAGAUAAGACACUCUGGUCUCUCUGAGCCAGUCUUCCUCCCUUCUAUCCACACUAGGGGAGGAACUCGUUUUACAGCCCUGAGGUGUCUGGGGACAUUAUUCUGCCUAUGGUAAAGAAGCAUUCCUUAGAUGAAAGAAAAAAAGAUGACUAUUUCAGAUGAAGAAUCAGGGAUGUGUCUGAAAAUUUCUGGCAUAGAUGGAGGAAGAAUCCCAAUAUGUUUUUGUGGUUAUACAGCCAAAAAUUAUGUUAACUACAUGACUGAUGUGACUUGACUGGGAAAAGGCAACCUGAGAGUAUUUUAAGAUUCCUUGGUUAUGUAAUUAUAUAUCCAGAAGGUACCAUAUCCAGCAGAGUGAUAGAUUAAAAAUUAUAAUCAGUGUUCUUAAGCACAUAAUUAGCAUAUUGAACAUUGACAGUUCAGACCUCAAUUAAGUACAUAGCCUGCUAACAGAGGGAGUUCUGAUUUUAGAGUUACAUUGGAGCCUUGCUCCCAGUGGGGGAAAUUUUUAACAAAUCACGUAAAGUUUCUCUUCCACAUCUCUUGUAGCAAUAAAUCAAAACUACCCUUUCUUAAUAUGAUUCCUUAUGUUGCCCUGAUGUCUGGGUAGGGGAUUGAGGGUGGGGAGUGUAGAGAGGAAUUUGGUGGUUCUGUCAAAGGUAAAUUGAAUAUGUUCAUCAUUACAAUUUCCUUCUGUAUCUGAAAUAAUUUCAUACGUGACUUUUUGGAACUUUAUGAGUAGCCUUUAAAAUACUUAGGCUGCUUUCUUCUAGCACUGAAACCAGGAAUCAUUUUUUGAAUGUCAUGAUCUAGUUAGAAGUAAUUUUGCCUUAUAGCCAAGGGUAAUCUCAUCACUGAGUAAUGCUUCUAUUUAUAUAAGUCUGUCUCUCAGAGCCUGUUCGUAUCUUGAAGAAAUCCCCAAUGCAGGAGGCAGGAUACAAAAUUGAAUACCAUCAUGUAAUAUCCCCAAAGGGACUUGUUUAGUGUUUUCUUAUCCAGUUACCCAUGGCUACAGGGAAAGAUUUUUCAAAAUUCAAUACAAAUUGUGUUAGCUUGUUUUUCUUCUUGACACCCUUAAGUCCUCUUUGAUCACGGUAGAUUUUAAAGGAAAGAAAAAAAAUUCCUUUAGAUCUCUCAAUGUCAAGGGGCACUCAGACAGUUAUUCCAUUGCCCUUCUACAGAGCUGCUAAUUGUUUAGAAGGACAGAGAUAUCUCGGAGUAAGCAUUCUGGGACCUCAGCAAAAGCUGUUUGCUCUGCUCAGUGUCAGGAGGGUCUUGGGCAUUAGCCAAGGGGCUUUAAUUAUUGAAGGAUUUUAUUAUGAGGUUGUUUUAUCUAAAAGACAAAUUCCAUUUGUCAUAUCACCAGUCAAGUAUCAAUUCAUCAUCAGGUACUUAAUUAUUGAUAAAGUAUUAUGUUUUGUGUACUUUCACCUAUUUUGUAAAACAACAUUCGUCAAAAGCUUGGCUUUCACUGUGUUGACAAACUCUAGUCACUCCAUAAGGAGCCAGACAUUCCAGAAUUUGAAGGAAAGGGCAGAAAAUGGCAACCUUAUGGUUCAUUGGGCUAUGGAAUUCCGCAAAUCUCACUGCAGUCUUUAAAAUGCAGUUAAUAUGAAAGAAUAUGUGCUCUAAUUUGUUUUACUUUCCCUGAAGUAGUUUUAUAAGAGAAGGGAUUAGUCUCUAUGCUGUUUAGAAAAAGAAGGCCAAAAAAAGUGGGUAGUGCUAGUGUUUAUCUGGCUGAGGCCUCCUUGCCUUUAGUACACCUAGAGAGGUCAGCCUCUUAAUGAAGCAGAUAUCAUCUCCCCAAAUGCAGCAGCCUGAGGGACAUUUGUCAUAGACCAUCUAGUUCCCCUGGCUGUGAUUGUGUUCACCACACAAAUGUGUGAAUGUAAAUUUCUCUUCUCAAGGACAGGGGAACCACGGUGUGUCAGGAUCUGCCAAAAUUAGUGACCCCUCCCAUGCCUUCCUUAGAACAUAUUCUGAUUCUUUAAAUUUCCAUAAGGAGAAUAUUUCAGGAUGUAAGGAAACAUAAAUUGAUUGAAGGAUUGUAUAGGCUCUUUUAUUCUCUUUCAAAUGCAAUGCCCCAAUUUAUAAUGCCCACAGUGCUUUCAACCCUGUGGCUAAAGGUCGUCCCAGUGUCCCAGGUGUCUGAAGCUCUGAACUAGCCCGGUCCACUUUUGUUUGUAGGUAGACAUAGAUCGACAUCCAGAGCCAGCAGCUAAGCCUUUGUAGGGAUUUCUGAGCUAAAACUACAGAAGAAGGAGGAGGAAUCCUGAUGCUUUUCCAAACCUUUCUCUGAAUAAGUGGUUGCUGUCUACCCAUACCUUACUUCUAUUAGUCACCCCCCAUUGCAAGGUUGCAGUUGACCCCAUCCAGAGUCCAUUUGAAUUUGAACCAAGUGGCAAUGGCAAAUCUUCUCCAAACUAUUACACAGAUAAGGAUUUUUAAACAAAGGCAAUUCAGGUAGAAAAUAUGUUACUCAUCUUUCUUCUGCUAGGAGAAUACAUUCCUUUUUGAUGUUGGAUAUAUUGCGUUAUAGACUGUACAUUGUGUCCCCCACCCUGUUGAAGCUUUAACCCCCAUUGUGAUGGUAUUUGGAGAAAGGACUUUGAGAAAUAAUUAGGGUUAGAUUAGGUCAUGAGGGUGGGGCCCUUGUGAGUGGUUUUGUAAGAGGAGGAAGAGAGACUUCUCCCUCUCCAAGUGCAGGCAGCAAAGAAAGGCCACGUGGGAACACAAUGAGAAGGUGGCCACCUGCAAGCCAGCAAGACAGUCCUCAUAGAACCCAACCGUGCUGAAACCUUGAUCUUGGACUUCCAGCCUCUAGAGCUGUGAGAAAAUAAAAAUUUCUAUUGUUUAAGCCA
This is a long non-coding RNA of Symphalangus syndactylus (siamang), 3622 nucleotides long. RefSeq lists it as uncharacterized. The record is from RefSeq and is a predicted model, not a curated record. Lineage: Eukaryota; Metazoa; Chordata; Mammalia; Primates; Hylobatidae.